This 505-nucleotide ribosomal RNA is filed under the name uncultured Geobacter sp. Its description in RNAcentral is "bacterial SSU rRNA". It matches the Rfam family "Bacterial small subunit ribosomal RNA", at positions 335 to 831 of the family's 1533-position model. Lineage: Bacteria; Pseudomonadati; Thermodesulfobacteriota; Desulfuromonadia; Geobacterales; Geobacteraceae. The record is from RNAcentral.
ACUCCUACGGGAGGCAGCAGUGGGGAAUUUUGCGCAAUGGGGGAAACCCUGACGCAGCAACGCCGCGUGAGUGAUGAAGGCCUUCGGGUCGUAAAGCUCUGUCAGAGGGAAAGAAGUGUAUAGUGGCUAAUACCCAUUAUACUUGACGGUACCCUCAAAGGAAGCACCGGCUAACUCCGUGCCAGCAGCCGCGGUAAUACGGAGGGUGCGAGCGUUGUUCGGAUUUAUUGGGCGUAAAGCGCGUGUAGGCGGUCUUUUAAGUCUGAUGUGAAAGCCCUGGGCUCAACCCGGGAAGUGCAUUGGAAACUGGGAGACUUGAAUACGGGAGAGGGUAGUGGAAUUCCUGGUGUAGGAGUGAAAUCCGUAGAUAUCAGGAGGAACACCGGUGGCGAAGGCGGCUGCCUGGACCGAUAUUGACGCUGAGACGCGAAAGCGUGGGGAGCAAACAGGAUUAGAUACCCUGGUAGUCCACGCGGUAAACGAUGAGAACUAGGUGUCGCGGGUA